ACGUCUGUGUAAAAAGACAGAAAGGUGUAGACCCAAAACAUGACACUGGGCUUUGCCUUUACACUGGAAUUUGUAAACAUUAGACUCUGAUAUGAGAGUUAUAAUUCUUGAAUUCUUGACAUUUAAGUGUCGAGUCCUUCCCAACAUGCCUGAUUUGAGGAGAGCCGCAUUCCGCUCCCAUGUAUGCUGAGAGUUGAUCAUGGAAGUGACAAUAAAUUGAAUCUUGAAUAGAUUCAGUAAGAAGUGUAGUAAAGAUCACUAUUUGUUCACGAUUUUGUUUCCUUUCACUUCCUCUCUUUUCCUACUGCACCUCCUUUAGUACACUUCCUGGUUUCUCACUCUCUCCUCUCCCCCUUGAUUAGUUGUUGUUUGCACUCUGUCACUAAUUAAUUAGAUUGAAUUCACCUGCCUACUCCUUAUUUAAGACUGCACUCCCUUGCACUCAUGUUUUUAUCCUCACAUGGGGCGGCAGUUCAACAAUGCAUGGAUGUUCAAUCCCAUGUGUGUCGUAUGUUACCCUUAUGAUUCACCUAACUUGAAAAGAAAUAAACCUGUUACAUAAAAA
Labrus mixtus (cuckoo wrasse) is the source of this 565-nucleotide long non-coding RNA. RefSeq lists it as uncharacterized. The record is from RefSeq and is a predicted model, not a curated record. NCBI's taxonomy places the organism in Eukaryota, Metazoa, Chordata, Actinopteri, Labriformes, Labridae. The transcript is spliced from 2 exons.